Molecule: transfer RNA, 88 nt
Filed under: Elusimicrobiaceae bacterium
Lineage: Bacteria; Pseudomonadati; Elusimicrobiota; Elusimicrobia; Elusimicrobiales; Elusimicrobiaceae
Also listed under: 1 other name
Description: tRNA-Ser
Rfam family: tRNA
About the family: Transfer RNA (tRNA) molecules are approximately 80 nucleotides in length. Their secondary structure includes four short double-helical elements and three loops (D, anti-codon, and T loops). Further hydrogen bonds mediate the characteristic L-shaped molecular structure. tRNAs have two regions of fundamental functional importance: the anti-codon, which is responsible for specific mRNA codon recognition, and the 3' end, to which the tRNAs corresponding amino acid is attached (by aminoacyl-tRNA synthetases). tRNAs cope with the degeneracy of the genetic code in two manners: having more than one tRNA (with a specific anti-codon) for a particular amino acid; and 'wobble' base-pairing, i.e. permitting non-standard base-pairing at the 3rd anti-codon position.
Source: RNAcentral
GGAGAGAUGGCCGAGUGGUUGAAGGCGCAGUCCUGGAAAGACUGUAUACUCCAAAAGGGUAUCGAGGGUUCGAAUCCCUCUCUCUCCG